Molecule: ribosomal RNA, 301 nt
Filed under: uncultured bacterium
Lineage: Bacteria
Description: partial 16S ribosomal RNA
Rfam family: Bacterial small subunit ribosomal RNA
Source: RNAcentral
CAGCAGCCGCGGUAAAACGGAGGAUCCAAGCGUUAUCCGGAAUCAUUGGGUUUAAAGGGUCCGUAGGCGGUCUUGUAAGUCAGUGGUGAAAGCCCAUCGCUCAACGGUGGAACGGCCAUUGAUACUGCAGGACUUGAAUUAUUGGGAAGUAACUAGAAUAUGUAGUGUAGCGGUGAAAUGCUUAGAGAUUACAUGGAAUACCAAUUGCGAAGGCAGGUUACUACCAAUUGAUUGACGCUGAUGGACGAAAGCGUGGGUAGCGAACAGGAUUAGAUACCCCAGUAGUCCCUGUCUCUUAUAC